UACGUAGGGUGCAAGCGUUAAUCGGAAUUACUGGGCGUAAAGCGUGCGCAGGCGGCUCCGCAUGUCGGGCGUGAAAUCCCCGGGCUUAACCUGGGAAUUGCGUCCGAAACUAUGGAGCUGGAGUGUGGCAGAGGGAGGUGGAAUUCCACGUGUAGCGGUGAAAUGCGUAGAGAUGUGGAGGAACACCGAUGGCGAAGGCAGCCUCCUGGGCCAACACUGACGCUCAUGCACGAAAGCGUGGGGAGCAAACAGG
This 253-nucleotide ribosomal RNA is filed under the name uncultured bacterium. RNAcentral describes it as "partial 16S ribosomal RNA". It matches the Rfam family "Bacterial small subunit ribosomal RNA", at positions 524 to 776 of the family's 1533-position model. The record is from RNAcentral.